This 534-nucleotide long non-coding RNA is filed under the name Ananas comosus (pineapple). Its description in RNAcentral is "long non-coding RNA (ACOM_LNC006073)". Lineage: Eukaryota; Viridiplantae; Streptophyta; Magnoliopsida; Poales; Bromeliaceae. The record is from RNAcentral.
GGGUAAGAUGGUAAAUAAUCAUUCUUGAGGGGUACUUCGUGAGGAGUUAGAUCUAAAGCUUAGGGUGUGCUUGGUUCCACGUAAAACUGUGGAAAAAAAAUUUUUGGUGGAAAAAAAAAUUUCGGUGGAAAAAAAUUUUACGUUGUUUAUGUUUGAUUUGUAGAAAAAGAAAAAUAGUUUUUCAUGAUAAUUGUUUUGUUGAAAGGAAAAGAAAAAUAAAUAAAAAACUAUUUAAUAUAUUUUUUAAUAUAUAUAUUAUUAAUAUAUUAUAAUUAUUAUAUAUGUUUUCUCUAAUUAUAUAUAUUAUAUAUUAUUAAUAUAUAAUAAUUAUCAUAAUAUAUUUAAUUAUUAUAAUUUAUAUUUAUAAUAAGUUAUAUUAUAUAAUAAAUAUGUAAUAUAAUAUAUAAUAAUAUAUAUUUAAUAUUAUAAAAUAAAUUAUUAUAUAUUUAUAAAUAAAAUAUUAUAUAAUAAAUAUAUUUAUAAAAAAUAAAAUAAAAUAAAAUAAUAUAUAUAUAUUAUAUUAUUAUAAUUAAA